GGGAUGUUCUUUACAAUUGCCACCUUCUGUGAUGAAGCAGGGGUUGAGGCUGCUAUAUUUGCUAUUGAUCGGGCUACUGCUGCUGCCUUCUUCAAUGUGAUCCUCGAGUCAUACUCGUCCACUUUAGUGCAGAGCAUAUAUCGGUUAAUAAAAGCAACCACAUGAACUGGUAGAAUUCGUAUUAAGGCGACAAUUCUCGACUGAUUAGGAGAUCUUUGCAUCCAAAAGCUCUGGUGUUUUCAAAUACAAAGACUUGAAUACAGUGAACAGAUUAUUCUAGGAAAGUUAAUACAAGGCUCCAAGACAUUGAUCAAAAUUCAAUGUACUACAUAUGUGAAGAUCUAUGGUAAGGAAAUAAUUCUUUCAAACCAAGAAAAACUUCAUACAUCACUUUCUUUCUUUCUUUUUUUUUUUCCCCCUUUUCAAUUCAUCAAAUCCUCGCCCUCCAAGGCAAAUAUUAAACAAGCCAUAUACAAAUCGCAUACCUACUUAUUCCUAUCAAAAAAGCUCGUGGCAUGUUAGGGUGUUGAAAACCCUUCUUGAUGAAAUCCUGGACUAGCAUUGCAUUCGCAUAUUAUGCAGGGCCAAAUGUCCCCUUUGAUGAAGGCGGCAAAUGCGCAUCACAUCUAUGGGACUCGAAUCACACCCUCUGGCUUGUAGACAAACUGAGACCUCCUGGCUAGGCCCAUCAACAAACUUCCAUGUACAAGCUUUCCCAUCUCCAGUACAUUCCCUACUUUAUCAAAAUCACAUUUACAGGAGUUGGCUAAGUGGAUAGACCUGUAAUAUCAAAUAUAUAGCAAAGACGCAUACGAAUACAAAUGGCUAAUAAUCCUAUAGACUGCAGCGUACUAACACAAAACAUUGACCAUGCCAUAUCAUGCAGCCGGUAAAUCUGACAUAUAGUAAAGACACAUGUGAAAACAAAUGGUUAAUAAUCCUAUAGACUGCAGUGUACUAACACAAACAUUGACCAUGCCAUGUCAUGCAGCCAGCAAAUCUGACCUAGAUUCUUCGUCAAAUGAUUGAUCUGAAGCAGAUGAUAAUGUAUAUGCAAAUGAGAAUUUAGGAGUUGGUUAGUUGGGAGAAUUAGCAAAUAAAAUUUAAAAGCUAAAAUGAGAUCAUCACAUGGAUUGAUGCCUAAAUUAUAAGAUUGCCAGACAAGUCUUAUACUUGAAGCCCAUCAGUCAACAGACAGAUGGAGAUCAUAUCCCACCAGCAGCACACUCAACCAUAUGCCCACGGACAAGCUUGUUUUUUAAGAACAUGUACACUGUUGCAAGUAAUGAAAGAAAUAAGCUGUCAUCAUAAUACUCAUUAUGGAUGAAAAUGAGCAUCUUCAUGAGAAUGUUGAGUUGUAUUUCUCUGGUAUCAAUACUAUUUUAAUUGAAAGAACUAGAUUCAGCAUUGAUACCAAGAUGAGAAAUCAAUUGACUGAAAUAAGGAUGAAAUUUUGAUGGUCUCAUGUUCAAUCGCUAUAGUGGUUACUUGUUAGGCAGAUGCUAAACCUUCACCAUGCCAUUAAAUCUUGAUACCAUUAUGUCUUAGAAUCCCACAAAUUGUUUGCAAUAACUUGGGGUAUAUUUGAAGCCUUUGGUAACUUAGACUAGCACAAAUACACCUUGCCAACAGAGAGAGAUCAAAUGAUAAAAAAGGCAUUAACAUAAGUAGCUUCCUACAACAUUCUACAAGCUGGAACUCAUAAGCAAGUGCUUUAAAGAGGGGAGCAACUUCAUAAAACUUUGUACUGCAUAAAAAUCUGAACCAGAAAACAAUACCACAAUAAUAGCUCUUAAACAAGCAGACAAUGCACAGAAAACAUUAGCAUGAAUCUAAUACAAACAAGAAAAGAGGCAUGGUGCAUAAUACCAUAAAUUGAUAUGGAUCAAAAACAAACACAAAUUAGUGUAGAUUGAAGUUACAAGUAAAUGGUGCAAUCGGCUCACCUUUAUGCUAACCCCAGAUUCCGAAGUUUAUCACAGUUAGGAGUGGGCAUAUUCUUACUCCAGUGACGUCUCUGGAGUUCUAUGUGACAAUAACGCCAAAGCAAGUUUCUAUAGUCCUUAAUUACAUUGUCCUCAAUGUUGGCUCUUGCAGGACUUCCAAUAGGAAAAUUGUCAUCAAAAGCCACUGAUUUGACGAAAAACUCCACUCCAAGUUUCUCAGUUGUCUUGGGGAUUUGAUAGGAAUAAUUCUUAUGCAAAGAAUAAUCUGGCUCUGAAAAGGGCAGAUAAGCAAGCACAAAAAUCAACAAGAAAGGCAGUAUCUGUAGAAGCAGUAGCAGAUUAGGCCCUCCUCCAUUAAACUCCUCCCGGUGUCUCCCACCAGUUCCUCUACUCCUAUAAACAUGAUGAGCCCUAAACAUGUCAGUCUGACCAAAAAAUGACCUGAAUAUUUCAUCCGGAUCAAAAUCAUCAUCAUAAAACUCAUGCACACUUCUCCUUCUCCUUGUCCUCCUAACGUUGUACUGCUGAUUAUACUCAAAUUGGUCAACCAAACCAGUCUGAUCGUACUGCCUCCUCGAAGUGUCAUCGCUCAGGCACUUGAACGCCUUGCUCAAUUUUUUGAAUGCUUCCUCUGAUCCUGGUGCCUUGUUCUUAUCUGGGUGGACUUUCAAUGACAAUUUCUUAUAAGCCUUCCUAAUCUCCUCGACAGAACAAGUCUUUUCCACCCCAAGAAUUGCAUAGUAAUCCUUAUUCCUCUUAAUCUGCCUAAUCAAUUCCACAUGUUCUUCAGUAUAAUUCCGCUCUCCAUUUAAACCCUCAUCAAUUUUAGCAGAACUAGUCCUGUUCUUAUUAUUAUCAACAACGCAUUUUUCAUCUAGAGAAGAUGGUAUCGACCCAGAAGAAUCAAUCUUCUCACAGGCAGCUAAAAGCUCAUCAGUAGGCAAAUUAUGAUUCAGACGUUGGGCAAUUCUAAUAAAUUUCAAUGCUCGGUCUUUAUUUCCUGAUGCAAUUGAUUCUUCAGCAAUUCGAACACAUCUCGCAGCUUCAUCUUUGUUAACAUCCAUAGUUUUCUUCCCCAAAUUUUUCUAGGUAAUACUCAAUAAAUGAAUUUGAAGGGAAAAUUAUGCUCUAAUUGAACUUCCCCACAAAAUUCAUAAUCCGAGAGAAAAAUUAAAGUUUGAAAAUGACAAAUCAGAAAUGAAGAGUGAACAGAUCAGAGAAGAAUUCCAACGAAAAGCGAAAUGGAUGGUAGCAGAGAGUUACCUGAUACGGAGAGAUUCAACAUUCUGAAAACAGAAACAUCUAAAAAAUAGAUGGAAUUGGGAUGAAUUUAGAAUCGAAGAAGAAGAAGAACAAGACUCAAAUCACACGUUUUUGUCUGGAUUUGCUAUUUACAAAGGGUAGGCCCUGCCGCACUUGCUCAGGCUCUAGCUAUCAAGUUUCGUCAGGUUAUCAAAUGGAUUCUUGCCACGUCUCCU
This 3424-nucleotide unclassified non-coding RNA is filed under the name Hevea brasiliensis (rubber tree). The record is from RNAcentral. Lineage: Eukaryota; Viridiplantae; Streptophyta; Magnoliopsida; Malpighiales; Euphorbiaceae.